This 253-nucleotide ribosomal RNA is filed under the name uncultured bacterium. Its description in RNAcentral is "partial 16S ribosomal RNA". It matches the Rfam family "Bacterial small subunit ribosomal RNA", at positions 524 to 776 of the family's 1533-position model. The record is from RNAcentral.
UACGUAGGGGGCGUGCGUUGUCCGGAAUUAUUGGGCGUAAAGGGCGCGCAGGCGGCUCUUUAAGUCUGCUGUGAAAGACCGAGGCUCAACCUCGGGAUGUCAGCGGAGACUGGGGAGCUCGGGUGUCGGAGAGGAGCACGGAAUUCCUGGUGUAGCGGUGGAAUGCGUAGAGAUCAGGAGGAACACCGAUGGCGAAGGCAGUGCUCUGGCCGAAGACCGACGUUGAGGCGCGAAAGCUGGGGGAGCGAACGGG